UGAAAUGCAGCUUCACUGUCUGUUUCAUUUGAAGUUUGAAAUGCAGCUUCACUGUCUGUUUCAUUUGAAGUUUGAAAUGCAGCUUCACUGUCUGUUUCAUUUGAAGUUUGAAAUGCAGCUUCACUGUCUGUUUCAUUUGAAGCCUCUGCUAUUCAGAACACUCCACUCUACCUGGCUGGGAAUCUCCACGAGGCCGUGAAGGGGUCGAGGGCCGCGCCCCUCGUCCGAAUCCUGGUGUCCCGCAGCGAGACAGACCUGCUCAGCAUCCGGGUCGAGUACCGCAAGAAAUACGGAGUCUCUCUGUACACAGCGCUACAGGGAAAAGCGAAGGGGGACUACCUGAAGGCACUGCUGGCUCUGUGUGGGGCUGAAGACCUGUGAGAAAUGGAACCCCGAUCCUUAACCCCCUCAACCCCAGCCAGCGCAGACGUGCUUCACAGAGACCCUGCAGUUCUACUCUCCUUUCCAGAAACGGGAUAUUAAAGCUGUCUGAACCCAAGCCACAGUGUUGUAGUCUUUUAAACAGUUAACCCUGCCCUCAAACUGCCUGCUUAUUUUAUUGCAUUCCUAAUCAGAGUACAAGCAAUCCAAUUCUCCAGUGAAGAAUUAGGUGAAAAAGAGAAGCUGUCUUUUAUUACAACAGUUAUAUUCCAUUUCUUUAAUCCGUGCUCUGAAGAGCCCUGAACACUACAUACAAAGUCAAUAAUAAUAACAAGACUGCAAACUGAACUGGGGUUUAUAAUACAUUACAGUGACAGGGGCUACAUUGGGGGUUUCUGUGCUAGUCAUCAGGUUUUUAGAAGAUAAAGAUUUCUAUGCUGGUUUCGAUGAGGUUUUGUUUUUGCAGUGUAAAGGACUGGGCUGAGUUACUCAGCACUGCCAGGAACAUUUUCUAAAGGGAAGGUUCGACUUUACAGAUCACAAGAAAAGUGUGUUCCUCUAUAGGGUACAAAACAACAAAUUUCCAAAAAACGUUAAGAUUUAUAUAUAUAUAUAUAUCUCAAUUCCUGCAGGCUCUUGCAGUCCAAGAAAUGCAGAGUUUCGAUCAGAUUCUACCUCAGUGCGGUUCUCAGGAAGAAAGAAUGAUGAAAUACAUGAAGAAAAAGGCAGUAGCAGAGAAAAAAAAAUACAUGAAAUGAGAAAGAAGACAGAGAAAGAUGAAAUAAAUGAAAAGGGAAGGAGCAGAGAGACAAAAAAGAACACAUGAAACAAGACAGAGAGAGAGAAAGGGCAGUUUAUACAGACAGCACAUUUUUCACUCUGACAGACUGAAGUUGCACUUUGCAAUAAACCUGCCUGCCCAACUUCACACACUGAAGAGAGGCUGCAUGAAGCCAUCUGUUUAAUCAUCCCCACCUCAGCACGAUGCAAGUGGAGGGUUUGUAUUGUAUUUAUCAAGUGCUACACACACACGCACACACACACACAAUGUUAAACGUAUCGCGGCUGCCCUGGGCUGUGCUGCACACAAACCAGUGUUAUAAAAACGCAGCUAAACCCGCGAGAUCAAAACAAAAGCGUGAACUCGGAGCCCGAACCUCGAACCGGGCUGAGCUGCGUGUGCAUCGCUAGAAAAAAAAAAAAAAAAAAGCAGCAGCAUUUAAAAAAAACAAAACACACAACUCAACACUUUAUAUAUAAAAAAAAAAAUAAUAAUACACAAAAUCAUGAUUACACCCCCCAGCCCCAGCCCUCUACAGCGCUGUUUUUUCUUUUUGGGGGGGGGGUCGUUUUAAAGCUGUGCGGUUAACACAGCCGUCAUUCAAUAUUUAAUCCCAAAGAGGGUUAAUUUUUCUACAGCUCUGUUCCUUGAGGGACAGUAAGGGGGUUAUAUUGGUUUCAUUAAUUACAGCGGUAAUUAAAAACUGUAAUUAAAAACUACAUCCAGGGAUGAAAGUAACGGUUUAUACCAGAAAAGAAAUAAUCAUUUCAAUAUUAAUACUAGACUUCAUUGAGGGGAGCUCUGAACCCCAGGACUGGGUGCAGCAGCAGCAGCAGGGCU
This is a long non-coding RNA of Polyodon spathula (Mississippi paddlefish), 2002 nucleotides long. RefSeq lists it as uncharacterized. Lineage: Eukaryota; Metazoa; Chordata; Actinopteri; Acipenseriformes; Polyodontidae. The transcript has 3 exons. The record is from RefSeq and is a predicted model, not a curated record.